This is a long non-coding RNA of Anopheles gambiae (African malaria mosquito), 277 nucleotides long. RefSeq lists it as uncharacterized. The transcript has 2 exons. NCBI's taxonomy places the organism in Eukaryota, Metazoa, Arthropoda, Insecta, Diptera, Culicidae. The record is from RefSeq and is a predicted model, not a curated record.
AAUCAAUUAAAACUAUGAAGCUGGAUAUGCUUUAAAGGACUCUCUUACAGAAGGCAAAACCUCGAAGCAGUAAUCAUCUGUUUGGGCGAAUGUGAUAAGUGAGCCAACCUGCGCAAACAGUUCGGCUCCGACUGGCUGGUCACUCAGCGAGCCGAGAGGCCACUCAGCACGAUCGAAAGGACGAUCGUGCUCUCUUGGAAUAAGGCAGCCGAGCGGACGGUCACACACAAAAAGGGCUUAGGAUUAAUAAAUUAUAUUAUUGUAUUGUUUUAAAUAA